AUUUGAGAUUGUCAAUAUUGAGAUCGAGCAACAUUUUUUUUAAUUGAAAAUUGUAGUUGCUAUUAGUUUGAUAAAGUUAUAUGAAAUGAUACAGACUGAUCUUAAACAUAGAAAUGUAUUUUUCGAGUAAAUCGAUUAUUAUAGAAGAACAUUUGCCCUAGAUGAUGUGAGACCUUUGUUGACAAAGGAAAGAUUAAUGAAAGACCUAUUUUUCCUUUACAAAUGUGAAUUGGAGUGAAAAGUGACUGCAAUGUUAGAAAUGAUAGCUGUUAUUUAUUUUUGGUCUGAAUAAGAGUUUCUAAUAGUGGUUUCCAAACAUAAGUUGUACGGAGAAUGAAGUUUAUGGAAAGGGUAGUGAAUAAUGAUUCGUGCGAAUGUAAUGAAUACCGAACGGCUUUUGAAAAAUUGCAGGUCAUUAAUAGAAACAUCAUAGAGAUUGGAUGACCAUAAUUGCGUCCAUUUUGAGAAGAAGAGUUGACAUUAACCGAGCUAGAAUAUAAAAUGCAUGUUUCGUUUGUCAUUGAAACCAUAUGUUGUCUCAGAAAAAAAAAAGUUAAAAACGCCCCCCCCCCCCAAAAAAAAAAAAAACGAAAUUGAAGAGCAUCGAUGACCUGCUAUUCCGAAAGGUUAUUUCUUAUACAGCUAAAAUGAUUUAUUCCUAAAUUUUUAUAAAAGCUGUAGCCACCAUAUUUGUCUGAUUACAAUUGUUUUCCUUACAUCAUAGUUACAGCAACAAUAGAUCUUGUUUAUUGUCGAUUCGUUUUCCUUAGAACACCGUUGAAGCAACCAGAAAAUUGUUUCGAUUUAUAUUGAUUUUCCUCGAACCAUCGUUGGGGCAACCAUGAAAGAUCUUAUUCUAUCUUUUUUGUUUCCAUAAACCAUCUUUAUUGUAGCCAUAAAACUUUAUUGAAUUCCAUCAUUUGAUCAUAAAUCAUAGAGCUCAACCAUUUGACUUGUUUGAUUUCAAUCAAAUUCAAUUUGAAGUGUAUUUUUUUUAUGUUUGAAGUAUACUUUUGUAGUAAAAUAGUGGUAACAAGAAACAAAUCUGUAAUGGGUGUGCAUUAGCUAACAGGCCGUUUAAAAUUCAAAUUGUUUCUAUCUUGUACUGUAUUUCAGUGUUUAUCCUGAACUAUAAUAAACAGUUUUUUUUCCGACGUAGUCGGUAUAGUUUCGGUUUGUGCCCUUUGAACUUAAGGACGCUUAACUAUGGCAACACAACACGCAUGCUCGAAAAUCCUUUCUGUGAUUUGACAAAACGUAUUGUUUUAAAUUUAAUUUUAGUUUCUUGUGUACAAUUUGGAAAUUAGUAUGGCGUUCGUUGUCACUGGACUAGUAUAUAUUUGUUUAGGGGCCAGCUGAAGGACGCC
Molecule: long non-coding RNA, 1367 nt
Filed under: Mytilus galloprovincialis (Mediterranean mussel)
Lineage: Eukaryota; Metazoa; Mollusca; Bivalvia; Mytilida; Mytilidae
Source: RNAcentral